RNAcentral lists this ribosomal RNA (395 nucleotides) under Ebriida sp. TAGIRI1 lineage. Its description in RNAcentral is "partial small subunit ribosomal RNA". It matches the Rfam family "Eukaryotic small subunit ribosomal RNA", at positions 582 to 975 of the family's 1831-position model. The record is from RNAcentral. Lineage: Eukaryota; Cercozoa; Thecofilosea.
AUUCCAGCUCCAAUAGCGUAUAUUAAAGUUGUUGCAGUUAAAAAGCUCGUAGUUGGAUUUCUGGUUUGAUGCCCUGGCCCGCGGCGAUUCGCCGUGAGUGCCGGUUGUGCGUCUGCCAUCCUUCUAGAAAACGUUUCUACCCUUCACUGGGCCGGACUCGCGAUCUAGAUCUUUUACUUUGAAAAAAUUAGAGUGUUUAAAGCAGGCUUUUGCUAUGAAUACAUUAGCAUGGAAUAAUAAUCUAGGACUUCGGUUCUAUUUUGUUGGUUUCUAGUACUGAAGUAAUGAUUGAUAGGGAUAGUUGGGGGUGCUAGUAUUGAGCGGCCAGAGGUGAAAUUCUUGGGUUCGCUCAAGACUAACUUAUGCGAAAGCAUUCACCAAGGAUGUCUUCAUCG